This 679-nucleotide long non-coding RNA is filed under the name Homo sapiens (human). Its description in RNAcentral is "HSALNT0200397". The record is from RNAcentral. Lineage: Eukaryota; Metazoa; Chordata; Mammalia; Primates; Hominidae.
CCCUUCUUGGCAGAUGAAUCAGACAGGGAGAGAAAAUCUUUUUCUGUCUGGUGUUUUUCAAAAUUUUGAUGAUGGACUCACAUCAAGGAUGAAGAGCUUUGAUGUCAUUUGAACACCACCACCAUCACCACCACCAGCAUCAACAAACAAACAAGCAAACAAGCGUGAACUCAGGAGCCCUGUGGCCCAGCCUCCAGUCCAUUUCCUCACUGUGAUCUGGCUAAGUCACCUCCCCUCCACCUCAGUUCAGUCACCUACACAACAGGAAUGGUGGCUCCUGGCGUGAAAAGUUCUUAGGAGCAUUCAGCAUGAUGCUGUGUGGAGCACUUGGAAACUGCGUGUGCAUCACCUCAUAUUUCUGGCCACAGGUCAUUCAGACAUCUGCCCUUUGCCCUGGAGGAGAACCACUAGGGACUUGUGCCCAUAAGCACCAAUUCUGGCUUUUACCCUACCCAUCCUUUGCCAUCCCAAACUAUGCCAUCAACAAAUUCUAGAAAUCAAGUUAGAAAUGCUGUUCCCACGAGGGUCUCUGUGGUCUCUCAGAACAACAAUCAGCUGGCCCUGCUGGGCAGAUGUUGCCCAAUCCUAACCCACACUUAGCUAUCAACUUAAUCAUUCUCAACUAAAAACACCUACCUGAACACUUUUAGGGGUUAAGAAUAGUAUAAUCUCACUUAGC